This 226-nucleotide long non-coding RNA is filed under the name Mytilus galloprovincialis (Mediterranean mussel). The record is from RNAcentral. Lineage: Eukaryota; Metazoa; Mollusca; Bivalvia; Mytilida; Mytilidae.
GUGGUAUGCUUGCUAAUGAAACAUCUCUCUAUCCAGGUCACAAUUAAUAAAAUUAAACCAUUAAAAGUCAAAGUACGGUCUUCAACACGGAACAUUAGAUUACACCAAACAGCGAGCUGUAAAGGCCCCGAAAAAUUACUAUGGUUAUUAUGAGCAUAGAUUACAUUCACAAAUACAAAUUCAAACACAAAUUAUGUCUAAGACAAAGCAUACAUUUUAAAAUCCA